GGCUGCAGAGAACAGGAUUUGGAUUGGC
Molecule: non-coding RNA, 28 nt
Filed under: Homo sapiens (human)
Lineage: Eukaryota; Metazoa; Chordata; Mammalia; Primates; Hominidae
Source: RNAcentral